Mobula hypostoma (lesser devil ray) is the source of this 395-nucleotide long non-coding RNA. RefSeq lists it as uncharacterized. Lineage: Eukaryota; Metazoa; Chordata; Chondrichthyes; Myliobatiformes; Myliobatidae. The transcript has 3 exons. The record is from RefSeq and is a predicted model, not a curated record.
UGGAAGCAGAGAAAGACACAUGGUCCUAAAAUAACCUCAUUCUGCAUGUGGUCCAAGAGGCGCACACGAGAAAUCAAAAGCUGGACGGUAGAAGUGAAAUGAAUGAUUGGAGAAUGGCUUACCGGGUAUUUUAGUGGAAGGAGGGAUACAGAAAAAAUCUGCAAAAUUUCUGCAAGGAGCCUGCAGAAGAUGAUCACUGGCUCCAUAAGGCAUUCACAGUAGAACAAAGAAGCACAAUGGAAUCAACAAAAAAUUGCACACAAAAACUGACAACCAACUAGCUUGCAGAAGAAGACUAACAAUGCAAAUGCUAAAUAACUAAAUAAUACGAAACUGGCAUCAAAAUAACAAAGCUAAUUAAAUACAAACACGAGAGAAUCUGCAGAUGCUAGAAA